Molecule: ribosomal RNA, 472 nt
Filed under: uncultured bacterium
Lineage: Bacteria
Description: bacterial SSU rRNA
Rfam family: Bacterial small subunit ribosomal RNA
Source: RNAcentral
UGGGGAAUUUUGGACAAUGGGGGCAACCCUGAUCCAGCAAUGCCGCGUGAGUGAAGAAGGCCUUUGGGUUGUAAAGCUCUUUUGUCAGGGAAGAAACGGUAGUAGCGAAUAACUAUUACUAAUGACGGUACCUGAAGAAUAAGCACCGGCUAACUACGUGCCAGCAGCCGCGGUAAUACGUAGGGUGCAAGCGUUAAUCGGAAUUACUGGGCGUAAAGCGUGCGCAGGCGGUUGUGUAAGUCAGAUGUGAAAUCCCCGGGCUCAACCUGGGAAUUGCAUUUGAGACUGCACGGCUAGAGUGUGUCAGAGGGGGGUAGAAUUCCACGUGUAGCAGUGAAAUGCGUAGAUAUGUGGAGGAAUACCGAUGGCGAAGGCAGCCCCCUGGGAUAACACUGACGCUCAUGCACGAAAGCGUGGGGAGCAAACAGGAUUAGAUACCCCAGUAGUCCCUGAGCGGGCUGGCAAGGCGCAU